Molecule: long non-coding RNA, 359 nt
Organism: Nymphalis io (European peacock)
Lineage: Eukaryota; Metazoa; Arthropoda; Insecta; Lepidoptera; Nymphalidae
Exons: 3
Source: RefSeq, a predicted model, not a curated record
CACAAAAUUAUUUACGAGAUGGUUGUAAGAGAGCCACUUGGGGAGUUUUUUCAAUUUUUUUAAUGAAGAACCAUAUAAAGAUACUGACGUGUUACAUCAAACAGAACAAAGGAUUUGGCCAGAAAGCGACUGCGUUAAAGUCCUAAGGAACAUACCAGAAGGAAUAUUUUGCGGCGGUAGAGGUCAUGACGGCGGGUAUCCUUCUAUCUAAAGCAUUCCUAGCAAUCCAGUCGUAAUGGUAUGGAAUAUCCGUGUAAACUAUGAUGGACCUAGAUACUUCCAUGUUUUUGAAGGAGACCAGGCCAGUUUGCAAGUAUCCAUCAAUUAUGAGAGGACUGCCAGAAUCACCGCUGAAAAUA